Molecule: long non-coding RNA, 985 nt
Organism: Camponotus floridanus (Florida carpenter ant)
Lineage: Eukaryota; Metazoa; Arthropoda; Insecta; Hymenoptera; Formicidae
Exons: 5
Source: RefSeq, a predicted model, not a curated record
CUAAAAAGAGACUUUUGUCUCGGUGACAUGUGAUUAAAAUUUAUAAUAAGAGAGAGAAAAAUUAUUCAAUAUUACAGUCGCUUAAUAAGAUCGAUCAGUUUAAUGCAAAACUUUUUCCCAAGACUGUUGAGUAAUUUCGAUGCUUUGUCGAUUAUAAUGUUAAUGUAUCCAUGGCGGGAUUAAAGAUGAGAAUUUAUGGUUACGAAGAAAUAUGAGGCUGAAGGGAGUGUAAAGUAACAUAUCCGCUUGCAACUGUGACAAGAAUCGCUAUGAAAUGGAAGGUUUGCUGGAGGGACACUGGAAGGUGGAAGGACACUGCGGUUGACCGACGUGGAGGUUUACGCGAAAUACGCUUGCGCCGUAUUUCCUGAUUAGAAAAGGUUCAACGUCGAGCAACUUGAAUACCGUACGUAUUCGCUAGAUUCGGAGUACGCAGUGCGUUUAUAAAGUUCGCGAUGCCGACUUCGUAAACAGAUCGACUAACUAGAACCACGUGUUAGUGUGUUACUGUGUACGAAGGUGAACGUGCUCAACUGCAUGCGAGAAGACGGCUUUUCCGGCUUUCAGAUAAAUGACGCAAUUUCGUCAAAAAAUUAGUUCGAUUCGACCACUAUGUAUGACAAGAGAUGCGUAUGAGAUGCAUAGAGUUUGCGUAUUGCAAAAAUAUCUCCCGCACGCUCGCACAUGAUAGGUCACGCGUGCACAACGCGCGUGCGUGUAUAAAAAUCCUGGAGCCGGAGUAAUAGGAGUGACGUAUUAAGUAAAGUAUUAAGAUUUCGAGGAGAGGCAAAUGUUGACACACGUCGAUUAAUACUGAUCAAUUAACAAGCGGACAAGAGACGUACGCAACAUUGAUGACGAUCAAAUGUCAGUCAAGGUCAAAGGUCGUUAUAGGUAAAUUCAAGUGUAAAAUAUCAAAUAUUUCUCUCGAAACGGUACGAAAUGAUAUCCAUAAAAAGACAUGGAAUUUUCCCGAGCAGACCAA